AAUUAUAAAUUUAUUUUUGAUAUAUUUGUUAAUAAUUUAAUAAAAAUAAUUUUAAUUUAUUAUUUUCAGUAUUUUUAAGAGAAAAAAUUUUAAUAAAUUAUAGUUUAAUAGUAUUGUAAAAGAAUAUUUAAUUAAGGUUUAAUUAAUUGAAAGUAGAAUUGUGUUUUUGUACCUUGUGUAUCAGGGUUUAUUAAAAUUAAGUUAUAUAAUUAAUUUUCUCGAAUUUAAGAGAGUUAAAAAUUUUAUUUUUUAUAUUGUUUAAUUAAUAUAUAUAAUAAAUUUUUGGUAAUGAAAAGUUAUUCGGUCUUAAAUAUAUCUAGUUUAUUUAGAAAUAAAUUCAAUUUAAAUAUUAUUAUUUUAAUAAAUUAAUUUGAGUAAUUUAUUAAAUUUUAAUAUUAAUAGUUAAGGGGAUAAGCUUUUAAUUAAAAUUUUCUAAAAGUUAAAGUUUAAAAUAAAUAAAUUGUAAGUUUAGAAAUAGCUAUCAUAAAUAUUAUGUUAUAAUUAAUUUUUAUUUAUUAAUUAAAUUUUAUAUAAGUUUUAGAUUUUUUAUAAAUAUAUAAAUUUAAAUAAUUUAAGUUUAGAAAUAAUGAUAAAAUUAGUAUAAAUUUAAUUUAUAAAUAAAGUUAUUUGGUAGAUUAAUUAGAGGAAUUCGGCAAAUAUUUUUAUUCGCCUGUUUAACAAAAACAUGUCCUUUAGAAAAUAAUUUAAGGUUUAACCUGCCCAAUGAUUAGAAUUUAAUGGCCGCAGUAUAUUAACUGUGCAAAGGUAGCAUAAUCAUUAGUUUUUUAAUUAAAAGCUUGUAUGAAAGGUUGGACGAAAUAAAAUCUGUCUUUAUAUAAUAAAAUAUAGAAUUUAACUUUUAAGUAAAAAGGCUUAAAUAUUAUUAAAAGACGAGAAGACCCUAUAGAUCUUUAUAAAUAAUUUAUUAAAAUUUUUAAAGAUUAUUUAUUAUUUUAUUAAUUAAUUUAUUUUAUUGGGGUAAUAUAAAGAUUAAAGUAAUUCUUUAAGUUUAUUUACAUUAAUUUAUGAAUUUAUGAUCCAUUUAUAGUGAUUAUAAGAUUAAGUUACCUUAGGGAUAACAGCGUAAUUUUUUUUGAGAGUUCAUAUCUAUAAAAAAGUUUGCGACCUCGAUGUUGGAUUAAAAAUUAUCUUAGGUGUAGAAGCUUAAGAAUUUGGUCUGUUCGACCAUUAAAUUUUUACAUGAUCUGAGUUCAGACCGGUGUAAGCCAGGUCGGUUUCUAUCUUUAAUAAGGAGUAAUAUUUUAGUACGAAAGGACCAAAUAUUUAAUAUAUUGAUAUUUAAAUUUUUGAAUAUUAUU
Molecule: ribosomal RNA, 1319 nt
Filed under: Omus cazieri
Lineage: Eukaryota; Metazoa; Arthropoda; Insecta; Coleoptera; Carabidae
Description: 16S ribosomal RNA
Source: RNAcentral